Molecule: transfer RNA, 69 nt
Filed under: Marmota marmota marmota (Alpine marmot)
Lineage: Eukaryota; Metazoa; Chordata; Mammalia; Rodentia; Sciuridae
Also listed under: 2 other names
Rfam family: tRNA
About the family: Transfer RNA (tRNA) molecules are approximately 80 nucleotides in length. Their secondary structure includes four short double-helical elements and three loops (D, anti-codon, and T loops).
Source: Rfam by way of RNAcentral
GGGGCUGUAGCUCAGUGGUAGAGCAUUUGCCUAGCAUGCAUGAGGCACUGGGUUCAAUCCUCAGCACCA